GAUGAAGAACGUAGCGAAAUGCGAUAAGUAGUGUGAAUUGCAGAAUUCAGUGAAUCAUCGAAUCUUUGAACGCACAUUGCGCCCCUUGGUAUCCCGAGGGGCAUGCCUGUUCGAGCGUCAUUUCACCACUCAAGCCUGGCUUGGUGUUGGGCGACGUCCCCUUUGGGGACGCGCCUCGAAACGCUCGGCGGCGUGGCACCGGCUUUAAGCGUAGCAGAAUCUUUUGCUUUGGAAGUCGGGGCCCCGUCUGCCGGAAGACCUACUCGCAAGGUUGACCUCGGAUCAGGCAGGGAUACCCGCUGAACUUAAGCAUAUCAAUAAGCGGAGGA
Molecule: unclassified non-coding RNA, 329 nt
Filed under: soil metagenome
Description: partial contains 5.8S ribosomal RNA, internal transcribed spacer 2, and large subunit ribosomal RNA
Rfam family: 5.8S ribosomal RNA (bases 1-120)
Source: RNAcentral